Small nucleolar RNA from Callithrix jacchus (white-tufted-ear marmoset), 98 nucleotides. The record is from Ensembl. NCBI's taxonomy places the organism in Eukaryota, Metazoa, Chordata, Mammalia, Primates, Cebidae.
AUCCUCUGGUAGUUUAUGAACAUGAUGACUAGGUUUUUCAUGCACAUGUGAUGUGCCACACUGGAAGCUUGUCCUGUCUGAACAAUAGGCAUCUGACC